UUUGGGGAGCAACCAGCUGAGGCCUGGGGAGGAGAGAUUGGAUACCUGCAGGGGAGUCCUAUAAACAGGGCUGGAGAGAGGAGAGAGCUCAGAGUGAGGAUGGCCUCUGAUUGAUUGCAGGCAGAAGGCAGUAGGGAGCCAUCGAGGACUGUUGAGCAGAGCUUGGCAGAGCUGACUGUUCUUUUAGCUGAGAAUGACAUGAAAUGGCUAGAACAGGCAGGUCUCAAGUCCAGGAGCCUAAGUGAGGGGUGGUCAGCUUGACCUUGAGUCAGAGGACCUUGGAGCAGAUGCUAAGCCAACUACUUACUAGCCUGGUGACCUUGAACAGAUUUUGAUUUUCUCCAUGCCUCAAUUACCGUAUCUUUCACAUGUGGAUGCUAACACUCCUUCAUUUGUUCAACCACAAAAGGGGUGAACUCUAAUUCACCUCCUGAGUGCUGGAUCCUACAGUGGAGAAAAGAGACAAGCUGUUUGCACUCAAGGGCCUAACCGUCUCAGGGGCGGAGACACAAACAAAAACGAAAUAAACAAAUAUAAUUUCAGGUGAGGUGAAGAACACAGCAGGUUGUUCUGCUUGGGUGGCCUGGGUGACUGGGUUGUCCGGGAGGUCCUCACUGAAGAAGUAUUGAGUGGAGACUUUGCACAUUACCCAGGGUGUUUCAGGCCAAGGAAAACAGUUAGUGCAAAGGCCCCAAGGCACCGGAGAGCUGGGAGUUUCCAGUAGGGGAACAGAAUAAUGAACCAGGUGAGAAGGGAUAUAAGAUGAGGAAGGGUUGUCGGGGAAUUCAGGGAUGUGGUAAGCCCUCGGUAAACGACAUUAUUAUUACAGGAACAUCCUGGUCCUGAGGUUAACAAGGAUCUGAGCUGUUAUUGUGGUCACGGGACUAUGAGAAGAUGGACCAUGAGCAGCAUUAGCAAAAGUGACCGGGCGUGGGAUAAACUCAGUUUAUAAGGGGGUGACGAGGGGGCAGCUGACACACUGCAGCUCGGGAACAAGGUUCAGAGCAGGAAUGUGAGCAUCUUCCAGGGAGAGGGGACUGGACAGGCCUCAUCCCGACUCUGGUCCCACUUUGUGCUAGACUAACAAGGGGAGCCGAGAGGGAGGAGAAGGGUGAUCUUCUGCACCUGGGGCGUCUGAACGAGGUCUCCUCAUCCCUGUCCCCCACAUGGCCUUGGAGGUGGGCUCUGCCCACAGAAGGGUCCUGCAGAUCCUGGUUCUCAGGGCAAUCUCCUCUUUCAGUGUCCUUGGGGACAGCAGGCCCCUUUCUCUCCCAGCCCCUGCAGGCCAUGUCAGGGGCAGGGGUCUUGCCCUCUGCUUCUGGGCUAGGCUGCGUAGCAGGUGUGGUGAAGGGUGUGGGGUCAUAGGUUCCGAACCGAAGUGCGAGCGACACCGGAGCCCUGUCUGUAAUGGCGAAGGUAUCUGGAAAGUUCUAUCCUGUGGCUUGCUGCCCGUCAGCUGGUGAGGACUCUCAGUCACAAUCACAGUCCAAACCAAUAUCCACUUACCUCUCUGUGGAAGCUGCCCCCUUCUGUCCCUGCAAUUUUAACUGCCUCUGAGAUGACUCUGGAGGGUCAUUGCUGACUGGCUGGGCCAUCUCCCCCAGGGUCAUGCCUCGUUCCAUGGGUAGCCUUGCCAGAUGGCACCUCGAGCCCCCAACUCUGAAUCCAAUUCACUCUCUGUCCCUGGCUUCUGAUGUGGCAAAGUCUUGC
Molecule: long non-coding RNA, 1710 nt
Filed under: Marmota monax (woodchuck)
Lineage: Eukaryota; Metazoa; Chordata; Mammalia; Rodentia; Sciuridae
Source: RNAcentral